This 853-nucleotide long non-coding RNA is filed under the name Nicotiana tabacum (common tobacco). RNAcentral's name for it is "long non-coding RNA (NTAB_LNC005068)". Lineage: Eukaryota; Viridiplantae; Streptophyta; Magnoliopsida; Solanales; Solanaceae. The record is from RNAcentral.
GUCAGCAUUAGGGUUUUAAACCCUAAACUGAACUUUUUUCCUUUAGUCAGCAUUAGGGUUUUAAACCCUAAACUGAACUUUUUCCUUUAGUCAGCAUUAGGGUUUUAAACCCUAGACUGAACUCUUUCCUUUAGUCAGCAUUAGGGUUUUAAACCCUAAACUGAACUUUUCCUUUAGUCAGCAUUAGGGUUUUAAACCCUAAACUGAACUUUUCCUUUAGUCAGCAUUAGGGUUUUAAACCCUAAACUGAACUUUUCCUUUAGUCAGCAUUAGGUUUUUAAACCCUAAACUAAACUUUUCCUUUAGACAGCAUUAGGGUUUUAAACCCUAAACUGAACUCUUUCAUUUAGUCAGCAUUAGGGUUUUAAACCCUAAACUGAACUCUUUCCUUCAGUCAGCAUUAGGGUUUUAAACCCUAAACCGAACUCUUUUUCCUUUAGUCAGCAUUAGGGUUUUAAACCAUAAACUGAACUCUUUUCCUUCAGUCAGCAUUAGGGUUUUAAACCCUAAACUGAACUUUUUUUUCUUCCUUUAGUCAGCAUUAGGGUUUUAAACCCUAAACUGAACUUUUUUCCCUUUAGUCAGCAUUAGGGUUUUAAACCCUAAACUGAACUUUUUCCCUUUAUCAGCAUUAGGUUUUUAAACCCUAAACUGAACUCUUUCCUUUAAUCAGCAUUAGGGUUUUUAAACCCUAAACUGAACUUUUUCUUUAAUCAGCAUUAGGGUUUUAAACCCUAAACUGAACUUUUCCUUUAGUCAGCAUUAGGGUUUUAAAACCCUAAACUGAACUUCUGUCCAUUCAGUCAGAAUUAGGGCCCCAACCCUAAACUGAACUUUUCCCCAGUUGGUCAGC